RNAcentral lists this transfer RNA (85 nucleotides) under Faucicola osloensis. Its description in RNAcentral is "tRNA-Tyr". It matches the Rfam family "tRNA". From Rfam's summary of the family: Transfer RNA (tRNA) molecules are approximately 80 nucleotides in length. Their secondary structure includes four short double-helical elements and three loops (D, anti-codon, and T loops). Further hydrogen bonds mediate the characteristic L-shaped molecular structure. tRNAs have two regions of fundamental functional importance: the anti-codon, which is responsible for specific mRNA codon recognition, and the 3' end, to which the tRNAs corresponding amino acid is attached (by aminoacyl-tRNA synthetases). tRNAs cope with the degeneracy of the genetic code in two manners: having more than one tRNA (with a specific anti-codon) for a particular amino acid; and 'wobble' base-pairing, i.e. permitting non-standard base-pairing at the 3rd anti-codon position. RNAcentral also lists the same sequence under 1 other name. Lineage: Bacteria; Pseudomonadati; Pseudomonadota; Gammaproteobacteria; Moraxellales; Moraxellaceae. The record is from RNAcentral.
GGAUAUGUAGGAAAAUUAGUAACCCCAGUGGACUGUAAAUCCGCCGCUACCCGCAUUGUUGGUGCAAGUCCAACCAUAUCCACCA